AUCGAUGCCAUUCUCAUCCUUUUUCAUCGUGAUAUAAGGGAAGGGAUAGUAAGUCAGCGUUGGAGCAGGAGCAGUGGACGCGGGCGCUCCGAGAGUAUACGAGGUCUGGAAGGGAAGAGUAAGUCAACGUUCAUCUGUUUCGUCGAAGUUUGAUCGUCGCUUCUCGAGAUUGUUGUUUGGGGGAAGAUAUUGGCGGUUGGGUCACCUGCUCGCUCCUGUAUUCUGUCCUGACAAGAAAGAGAAGUUGGUACAGGAUUUGUGGUUUCCUCUAAAGGCAAUCAGCAUAUCGUCUGCAAACAUAAGAGAUAAGUUGGAAUGUGAAUCUGGAGUGUCAUCUAAUUUCUAGUUCUACACCUUGUGUGUGAAAUUUAAGUUUCUCAAUUUUUGACUUCGUUUGAUUGCCAUCUAAAAUGAAAAUCCAAAUAGAAACCCCUGUUGUGUAUGAUUCUGUCAGUAAUUUAAUUCAGUACCAAGUUCCUUGUUCGUCACUGAAAAGGAAUUUUUGUUGUGGUGUUUAGUUUUAUGAUGCUGUCUUAUUAAUGCGUUAGUUUUUGUAUAGUUAAAAAGGAGGGAGGAAACAAUUUGCACAACAGUUUAACUCAUUGUUCAGCAUUGCAUUUCUGUAACAUGGUAUUAAUUAUUGGGAUGCUUAAUUUCUGUGAACGGAUUGGUCGUUCUUCUGCAGUCCAUUUCCAUUAGAACAACCAUAAUGUGAUAACUAGGAUGCUUAAUUUCUGUGAGGUCUACUCUGAUAUAUACUAGACGGUGAUUUACAACAACAAACAAAUACUACAAUUGUUCAUACUACUCACUUUGUUAUUUCAUGUUACUUUCAAAGAAAAAGCAAAUCAAGAGCACCUUAUGACCUACUAAAGGCUUCGUAUAUCCAUUUGGUUUCCUGUUUUGAGUCUCUUGAAUAAUUGCAGCAUCUGAGAAGAAACCAAUGUGUAUUUAUGGUGUAUUUACCAUGAUAGCCUGAUACAAUAUGAACAGAGCUGACCCUAUUUUUCCAUUGGAGAACUUUUGAGUAGAUUGAAGAUGUCAUUGGUGUAUCUACGGUCUAAAAUAGAAACUUAAAGUUAACUCUUGGGAUUUUUUGUAUUCGUCCGCAAGCUUUUAUCAAUAUUUAUUGUUGUUUUUCUUUUAGUUUUUUGUGCAUCAACUUGCUUUCCUACUUGCUUUAGUCUAGUAAUCAUAUUAUCGAGAACCUUAAAUCCAUGACCGUAUCUUUCGUGCAUUUAGUUAUAUCAGAGCUAGGGUUUUCACGUAUUGGUUCUACUUGUACCAUUAGGUCCUGUAUAUUAUCUCAUAGAACUUAGUUUAAUUCCUUUCAAGCUCAUCCUAUAUUUUGCUUGGAUUUACAGUGCCAUAGUAGGUACACCAGUAAAUCCUUUAUUCUCAUCGGUUUUCCUUUCGUUUAGUCUUCUGUUACCUCAUUUGCCUUUUCAUUAUCAUUUUAUAAUGCCUAGACCUAUUAUUAGUUUCUACUUUCUAAAUCUGGGUUUUGUAUCGAAUGCAAAGGAAAUAUUUUGGAAGAGCAACUGCAUUUUCCCUUUCUAUAUUUUACUAGAAAGGAUUCCUUUUAUGAUACUUAUAGGUGCCAUUGAUAUGGCUAUGUCAGCAUGCCACGAAAGUGUAAAGAAUGGAAAUAAAGGGUGUAAGGUCUCGGGAGGUCUAGAUUGGUGGUGAAUGAAAGAAGGAAAAGGAGUGAGAAAAAGAAUGAAUAGAAGGAAAAAGAAAAUAGUGACAGAAGAAUAAGAGUGGUGAGAGUCUUACCUGUCUUUCUAAAUUAAGAUUGGUGGUGCCAAAGGAUCACUGACAAUUAGGAAAGCUUAUUUGCCUAUAAAGCCGAAAAAGGGGUAAUGCUAACACUAACCACCAUUGAGAAAUUGAACCAAGAUGUAUCAUGGUUAUUCAGGUCAAUACUCUUAUGGAGGCCAAACCCCAAGAGAGUGUAGCCUAACACUGCCUAGCUUACCCAAUUAACCUCAUAUACAGUGAGAGUAAAUGAUUUUUUUCUGAAGUUUUGAGCUAAGCCUAGUACCAAAACCAAGUUAUUGUCCCAAGCUUGGUCCUAUAUAUUCUUCGACCUGUGUGCAAGUCUUUGUGGGUUGUUAUAUUGUUAUUGUAUAAGUAUAUUUUGCGUGUAAUGAAAUGUUGUCGAUAAAUUUGAAUUGAUAUAUCAUGUAAACGUUUAAAAGACCUCUCAUGUUUGGGAUUUUAGAAUGUUAAGUUUAGUUUUCUGACGAUAUGAACUUGUGGUAAAUGGUUGGUUUUGCGAUUGCAUAGAUUCUCACACUGAUGGAUUUAUAAGUGUGGUUAAUGUUUUGUUAAGUUGGUUUUGAGUUUCUUGAAUUAUCGAGUGAUGUGAUGUAUGAUUAUAAACUGCACAGGUUAUAUAUAUAUGAAUAAUAUUUGAAUACUUUUCAGUGCCCUCAAAUGUUGGUUUGGAUCCCGGAUUGAUGUUGGUCCUAUAUAUAUUUUUACUUGUGCAAGCCCUUGUUAUUUGCAUAUAUGUAUCCAAAUAGAAGGAAUUAUGUUUCUAUGAUUUUGUUUGAUAAUAUUUUGGUUAGACAAUUGAUAAAAACUUUAGACACUGUUAUGAACGAAGACCUAAUCCGUACAACAACAGAGGAGAGCUAACCCGUACAACAGAGGAUCGCAUAUUGGUGGAGAAUUUCAAAGAGAUUUUCUUUAUGAGUAUUCUUCCCUCGAGGAACAAGAUCCGUGCAGGGGUACUACAAGAACAAAUAUUUCAACCAAAUUCUGGAGGUGGAGGUUUCAUGAGUCCAAACAAAGCAGUGGAGAUGGGUAGGAAGCUUAUGACUUGGGAUGAAUUAAAAGCAGUGACACAGAUUCGUGAUCUUGAAGGUCCUAUGCAAUGCAAAGAUGGAGGAUUGCAGGGAUGAUGACCUUGGUGAAGCUUCACCAGAUAUAACUAGGGGAAUUGCAUGCUGCACUGCACCAUUGGCCCUCCAGUUAGGGCAAAGGUGGAAGCUGGGAGAGAAUACAGGAAGUAGGUCAGGCAGUGGGUAUGGUACCAGCAACAUGGCUGCAGGAAACUUGCAUGGCACUCAGACAGUGACAUACUUGAAAACAGGGUUCUUGUAGAUGUGGGAUGUGCAUUAGGAUAGGCCUGUUGCUCUUAAUAAGAUUUGAUUUGCAAGCAACCCAAUGUAUAUGUAAGUAUAUAUAAUGUUUGCAAUUGUGAUUUUAUGAAAAGUUUUUAUUCAGUUGGUCC
Long non-coding RNA from Musa acuminata AAA Group (dessert banana), 3241 nucleotides. RefSeq lists it as uncharacterized. NCBI's taxonomy places the organism in Eukaryota, Viridiplantae, Streptophyta, Magnoliopsida, Zingiberales, Musaceae. The transcript has 2 exons. The record is from RefSeq and is a predicted model, not a curated record.